This 899-nucleotide ribosomal RNA is filed under the name uncultured bacterium. RNAcentral's name for it is "bacterial SSU rRNA". It matches the Rfam family "Bacterial small subunit ribosomal RNA", at positions 27 to 916 of the family's 1533-position model. The record is from RNAcentral.
GGAUGAACGCUAGCUACAGGCUUAACACAUGCAAGUCGAGGGGAAACGAUAUUGGAAGCUUGCUUCCGAUAGGCGUCGACCGGCGCACGGGUGAGUAACGCGUAUCCAACCUGCCCAUCACUUGGGGAUAACCUUGCGAAAGUAAGACUAAUACCCAAUGAUAUCUCAAGAAGACAUCUGAAUGAGAUUAAAGAUUUAUCGGUGAUGGAUGGGGAUGCGUCUGAUUAGCUUGUUGGCGGGGUAACGGCCCACCAAGGCUACGAUCAGUAGGGGUUCUGAGAGGAAGGUCCCCCACAUUGGAACUGAGACACGGUCCAAACUCCUACGGGAGGCAGCAGUGAGGAAUAUUGGUCAAUGGGCGAGAGCCUGAACCAGCCAAGUAGCGUGCAGGAUGACGGCCCUAUGGGUUGUAAACUGCUUUUAUAAGGGAAUAAAGUGAGCCUCGUGAGGCUUUUUGCAUGUACCUUAUGAAUAAGGACCGGCUAAUUCCGUGCCAGCAGCCGCGGUAAUACGGAAGGUCCGGGCGUUAUCCGGAUUUAUUGGGUUUAAAGGGAGCGUAGGCCGGAGAUUAAGCGUGUUGUGAAAUGUAGAUGCUCAACAUCUGCACUGCAGCGCGAACUGGUUUCCUUGAGUACGCACAAAGUGGGCGGAAUUCGUGGUGUAGCGGUGAAAUGCUUAGAUAUCACGAAGAACUCCGAUUGCGAAGGCAGCUCACUGGAGCGCAACUGACGCUGAAGCUCGAAAGUGCGGGUAUCGAACAGGAUUAGAUACCCUGGUAGUCCGCACGGUAAACGAUGGAUGCCCGCUGUUGGUCUGAAUAGGUCAGCGGCCAAGCGAAAGCAUUAAGCAUCCCACCUGGGGAGUACGCCGGCAACGGUGAAACUCAAAGGAAUUGACGG